RNAcentral lists this ribosomal RNA (440 nucleotides) under uncultured bacterium. Its description in RNAcentral is "partial 16S ribosomal RNA". It matches the Rfam family "Bacterial small subunit ribosomal RNA", at positions 338 to 795 of the family's 1533-position model. The record is from RNAcentral.
CCUACGGGCGGCAGCAGUGGGGAAUAUUGCACAAUGGGGGAAACCCUGAUGCAGCGAAGCCGCGUGAGUGAAGAAGUAUUUCGGUAUGUAAAGCUCUAUCAGCAGGGAAGUAAAUGACGGUACCUGAUUAAGAAGCCCCGGCUAACUACGAGCCAGCAGCCGUGGUAAUAUGUAGGGGGCAAGCGUUAUCCGGAUUUACUGGGUGUAAAGGGAGAGUAGACGGCAGGGCAAGUCUGAAGUGAAAUGCCGGGGCUUAACCCCGGAACUGCUUUGGAAACUGUGCAGCUAGAGUGCAGGAGAGGCAAGUGGAAUUCGUGGUGUAGCGGUGAAAUGCGUAGAUAUUAGGAGGAACACCAGUGGCGAAGGCAGCUUACUGGACUGUAACUGACGUUGAGGCUCGAAAGCGUGGGGAGCAAACAGGAUUAGAUACCCUAGUAGUC